GAUGGUAGAGGUCACCAAGAACCAGAGCAGAGCCGGUUUGGGAUUUCAACAAGGGUCGUCUGUGAUUAAGGUUGAAGAUGUGCAACCCAGUUUCCGUAGAGGAGGGUUCAUUCAUGGAAAUGAACAACACUUAGCUGUUGUGAUGGAAGGGGAUGAAAAUGAAGACAUCACCAAUUUUGUGACACAUGGAAAAGGUUGCAACAAAUAGAUUGAUGUCGAUGUUCCUGUUAUUAUGCAUCGUUCUAAG
RNAcentral lists this long non-coding RNA (247 nucleotides) under Lathyrus oleraceus (garden pea). RNAcentral's name for it is "Pisum sativum (pea) long non-coding RNA (PSAT_LNC030652)". Lineage: Eukaryota; Viridiplantae; Streptophyta; Magnoliopsida; Fabales; Fabaceae. The record is from RNAcentral.